RNAcentral lists this ribosomal RNA (237 nucleotides) under uncultured bacterium. Its description in RNAcentral is "partial 16S ribosomal RNA". It matches the Rfam family "Bacterial small subunit ribosomal RNA", at positions 524 to 761 of the family's 1533-position model. The record is from RNAcentral.
GACGAGGGGUCCAAGCGUUGUUCGGAAUCAUUGGGCGUAAAGCGGGUGUAGGCGGCUCUAUAAGUCAGAAGUGAAAGCCCCGAGCUUAACUUGGGAAGUGCUUUUGAUACUGCAGAGCUUGAAUGUGGGAGAGGGUAGUGGAAUUCCAGGUGUAGUGGUGAAAUACGUAGAUAUCUGGAGGAACACCGGUGGCGAAGGCGGCUACCUGGCCCAACAUUGACGCUGAGACCGAAAGCA